AUUUAAAUAUUUUAAAAAAAAAUUUAAUAUUGAAGUUAUUAAGAUAGUUAAUUUAUUUAACUUUUAAAUA
Molecule: transfer RNA, 70 nt
Filed under: Exallonyx sp. ZJUH_2016014
Lineage: Eukaryota; Metazoa; Arthropoda; Insecta; Hymenoptera; Proctotrupidae
Description: tRNA-Phe
Source: RNAcentral